This is a microRNA precursor of Dipodomys ordii (Ord's kangaroo rat), 82 nucleotides long. The record is from Ensembl. Lineage: Eukaryota; Metazoa; Chordata; Mammalia; Rodentia; Heteromyidae.
CAUUCCUUCAGUGUUAAAGCAAUCUCUAUUGAACCAAGCUCCAAACCAAGUUCAUUGGAGUUUGUUUCAAUAUUGCAAGAAU